GGACGUUUAGCUCAGUUGGGAGAGCAUCGCCUUUACACGGCGGGGGUCAUAGGUUCGAGUCCUGUAACGUCCACCA
Molecule: transfer RNA, 76 nt
Filed under: Candidatus Scatoplasma merdavium
Lineage: Bacteria; Bacillati; Bacillota; Bacilli; Caryophanales
Description: tRNA-Val
Rfam family: tRNA
About the family: Transfer RNA (tRNA) molecules are approximately 80 nucleotides in length. Their secondary structure includes four short double-helical elements and three loops (D, anti-codon, and T loops).
Source: RNAcentral